RNAcentral lists this ribosomal RNA (789 nucleotides) under uncultured archaeon. RNAcentral describes it as "bacterial SSU rRNA". It matches the Rfam family "Archaeal small subunit ribosomal RNA", at positions 85 to 879 of the family's 1478-position model. The record is from RNAcentral.
ACGGCUCAGUAACACGUGGAUAACCUACCCUCAGGUGGGGGAUAACCCCGGAAAACUGGGGAUAAUACCCCAUAGAUCAGGGACGCUGGAAUGCCUCCUGGUCGAAAGGUGAGCCGCCUGAGGAUGGGUCUGCGGCCGAUUAGGUUGUUGUUGGGGUAACGGCCCAACAAGCCUGUAAUCGGUACGGGUUGUGGGAGCAAGAGCCCGGAGAUGGAUUCUGAGACACGAAUCCGGGCCCUACGGGGCGCAGCAGGCGCGAAAACUUUACAAUGCGGGAAACCGUGAUAAGGGAACUCUGAGUGCCCGUAAAAUCGGGCUGUCCAUCAGUGUAAAAAACUGGUGAAGAAAGGGCCGGGCAAGACCGGUGCCAGCCGCCGCGGUAAUACCGGCGGCUCGAGUGGUGGCCACUAUUAUUGGGCUUAAAGCGUCCGUAGCAGGGUUGUUAAGUCUCUUGGGAAAUCUACCGGCUCAACCGAUAGGCGUUCAGGGGAUACUGGCAACCUAGGGACCGGAAGAGGUGAGAGGUACUCCAGGGGUAGGAGUGAAAUCCUGUAAUCCUUGGGGGACCACCUGUGGCGAAGGCGUCUCACCAGGACGGCUCCGACUGUGAGGGGCGAAAGCUGGGGGAGCAAACCGGAUUAGAUACCCGGGUAGUCCCAGCUGUAAACGAUGCGCGUUAGGUGUAUCGGUGACCACGAGUCACCGAGGUGCCGAAGAGAAAUCGUGAAACGUGCCGCCUGGGAAGUACGGUCGCAAGGCUGAAACUUAAAGGAAUUGGCGGGGGAGCAC